UAAGCAUACGCAUAGAGACAGAAGUAGAAUCAUGGUUGCUGGGGAAUAGGAGAGGGAAAUGCAGAGUGACUGCUGAGAGGUACAAGCCUACUUUCUGGGUUAAUGAAAAUGUCCUGGAUUUAGAUCGUGGUGACAGCUGCACAGCUUUCUGAAUAUACCUACACCUGCUAAACUGCAUACUUUUUAAAAGGGAGGCAGAUGGUGAACAGUAAGAAAGGGGAAGCCUGGGCUCUCAGCCCUGUGGAGAUGCAACACGGUUCCUGGAAUGUCUAUUUCUGGACUUCUGUUACAUAAGAGAAUAGUACAUUUUAUCUCGGUUAAGGAACUUGACUGCAGAGAGAACAUAUUGUUGACUACUGUCAGCCCUGCAGAAGUUUACACACAGAAGCCUUGCCUGGUGGUAGAGAGCAGAGCGACCCAGCACUGCCUUCCAGGGCCCCAGGCCCUUGGCCUCCUGAAGCUUCACUGAAAAAUCAACUCACAAAAGGCUGAUUAAGAGGAAAAAAGGUAUACAUAUUUAUCUAAUGUACAUACACAGGAGGCUUCGGAAUGAAGACCCAGCCCUGCUGGGGGUACAGAAGCUUACAUACCAUCGUGAGGUGACAAAAGAAUGGGGGUUUGGAUCCUGACAAAACAGGUGACGGGAGAGGAGAGGAACUCUGCUGAGGGACAAUAUGUGAUUACUAGGGAGAAUGAAGGGAGGGGAACAGACAUUAACCAGUAAUUAGUUCUCUUUAGAUGUCUUAUAAAGGAUUUGUUCAGGUGCAGCCACAUCUGGGUUUGCUUUCCUGCAAUAGAUAAUGAGGUAACAGGAAAGAGAAGAAAAACCAGUUGUUCUCCUUGGUGGGUCUGGACUUUAGGCAGAUAGAAGAACUUCAGAAAACAGCUUUCUCCUAUGCCUGGGGAGAAACUCUGGAGGCUGGGGCAGGUGGGAGGGACCUCGAUGCUGCUUUAGUUCAGCUCGUCAAAAUGCCGUAUCUGGAGUCCUGGUUUCUGAGCCCCAACAGCCUCUAACUGGAUCAGGAAAUGCAUUCAAUUCUGCAGCUAAGUACUAGGAAGUCUACUGGCCUGAAGAUCUAAGCUGCAUUCAUCAGCGCCAAUUACUCAGUAAAAAUCCACCUGAUAUUUUGUCCCAUUCUCUAUUGGCUCAUAAUGCUGGUGAAGAAUAGAAGUAUGAUAUUUUCAUGCCUUCCCCAAGACCUUAAAACGAUCAGAGGAAACAACAGGGAACUAGUGUUUGACCCUGAAUACCACCCAGCAAAAUGGUUGGGACCCUAAUGAUUGUUUUCACCAGGGAAAGAAAAUUGAAUGGCUCAGAGAAUCUUGGCUGUCCAACUUUUUCUGCUGAAGUCUUCUUGUGGUGCUUUUUCUUCAUGAACACCUGAUACGUUUCCCUGGUGAUACACAGCGUCACACUCCAAAACUGCUCUUUUUGUCUCUUGUCAGUUAAUCCUGACAGAAUUCCAUUUUCUCGUCCAUCAAGGUAAACCCUCAAUACACUUAGUUGCUUAGUCAUUGAAGACAAAAGCUACCUGGAUCCUUCUUCUAACAUUCAAGAAUCUGGUGACCAAGUGUGUAGCCUGAGGUCUUCCAUAUUCCCCCCAGGAAGGCUAUCAUCUCUCUUCUAAAGUCUAACUCAAGUUGGCAUUUCCUGAUAUGCCAGAGUUGCCAAGGUGGUAGAUUUCUUAACGCAGAGAAAAAAGAUAAAAGGUAGGGGAGAUAAUGGAAGUUAGCCAGUUUGUUCAUGAUGUUUUGUUUAGUGUAAAGCAACAAAUUAACCUAGUCUUCGAAUCAUGAUUUACAAACGAUAAAAUACAAAUCUAAGGCUGGAUGCAGUGACUCAUAUCUAUAAUCUCAGCACUUUGGAGGCCAAGGCAGGUGGAUGGAUCGAUCAUCUGUGGUCAGGAGUUUGAGACGAGCCUGGCCAACAUGGUGCAACCCAUCUCUACUAAAAACACAAAAAUUAGCAGGCAUGGUGGCAGGCGCCUGUAGUCCCAGCUACUUGGGAGGCUGAGAGGCAAGAGAAUCAAUCGCUUGAACCCAGGAGGCAGAGGUUGUGGAGGUUGCAGUGAGCCAAAAUCUUACCAUUGCACUCCAGCCUGGGCAACAAGAGUGAAACUGUCUCAAAAAAAAAAAAAAUCUAAGUGUACAUUUUGAUGAGUAUUGACAAAUUUAAUUGCAUGCAAAACAAGAUAUAGAAUAUGUCCAUCACCCUUUAUAAUCAAACACAACCCCCAUCCCCACACACAGAGGCCCCUGCAUUCUGAUUUGUUUUUUAAUUUUUCUGUCACAUCAAGCAUGUAUCAUUUGUUUGCUAGAAACAUUCCAAUUCUACUCUUUUUGUUAUUUGAAAAUACACAAUAAAGUAUUGUUGACUACAGCCACCCUUUAGUGCUGUCAGAUACUGGAUCGUAUUUACUCGAUCUAACCAUAUUUUUGCACUCACUAAUCAUCCCCACUUUUACCCCUCCCAGCCUCUGGUAAUCAUCAUUCUACUGUCUAUUUCCAUGAGUUGAAUUGUUUCAGUUUUUACCUCCCACACAUGAAUUAGAACAUGUGAGAUUUGUCUUUCUGUCACCAUAGUUUAGUCUUGCUUGUUCUAGAACUUUAUAGAAAUAAAACAAAAUAUUAUAUACUCCUCUAAGAGAAAAUAGAAUCUUGGGACUCCAAAUUUACUAUGCCAAAGGGAAAGUUAAACUUGGAAACAGAGUCAAGCAAAAACUGCCUUCCUUUUGUUCCCAAACAGAAAGCUGUAAUUUCGCAACCGUAGUCACAGCCUCACAUGUAUAAACCAGGUUCUCACAAUACAAGGCUGCGUAUCUUUCUAGACGGUUUUCCUGACAAAUUGCUCACAAGGAAAUUUCCUGUGGGCCCCCAAAUCUUUCAAAAUACAUACCCCCCAUAUAAACUAGUCCUGAAACAAGUUCUGUUCAAUUUCACCUUGAUUUCAAUUUACCAGCUUAUCUUCACAGAUAUGGAACAAGGACCAGAGUGGAGAUUAUCCCUCUGCCGCCCCCAGAUGAGUGCACAAACAAUCUUUUCCUCUACUCAGCUUUUCACAUGUUUACUUUAUCUCACGUAAAAUGUAGAUUUACAGAGCAGGAGAUGAAUGCAUAAUUGACUUUUUCCUCUAUUCCCUCUUUUCACAAGUAAAAUGUAGAUGUACUGAUUGCUAAUCAAAGCCUCUCAAAACUGUAACCGCUUGCCUCAUUGCCUACUGAUUAAGUUUGGAUGUUUGUCCCCUCCAACUAUCAUGCUGAAAUGUGAUCCUCAGUGUUGGAAGUGAGAACGGAUGGGAGGUGUGUGGGUCACGGGGACAGAUUCCUCAUGAAUGGCUUGGUGCCCCCUCCCCAAGGCAGUGAGGGAGUGCUCACUUUAUUAGUUACCAUGAGAUUGGAUUGUUAAAAUAUCUAGUGUCUUUCUCACUGCCUCUCUCAUCAUGUGACAUACCUGCUCUCUCUUUAGCUGCCAUGAGUAAAAGCUUCCUGAGGCCUCAGCAGAAGCAGCUACAAGUGUCAAGCUUGUAUAGCCUGCAGGACCAUGAGCCAGACAAACCUCUUUUCCUUAUAAAUUACCCUAUGAGUAUGCAAAGACAUACGGAGGAAUAUGAUGGACUUUAGAGACUCAGAAAGGGGAGAAUGGGAGGGGAGGUAGGUAUAAAAUUCUACGUUAGGUACUUAUUAGCUACUCAGGUGACAGGUGCACUAAAAUCUCAGAAUUCUCCACUAUGUAAUUCAUCCAUGUGACACAAAAACCACUUGUGCCCCAAGAGCUAUUGAAAUAAAAAUAAAUAAAUGAGAUGAGUGGAGCUUUUUAAAGAAUAGUCUAUAUUUCCAGGGGAGAAUAUUAUAUAUUGUUAGUGUGAAGCAGCAUUCACCAUCAGUCCUAUUCCAAGUUUUAAUGCGUCUUAUGCAAACACUCAGAAACACAGUUAUAAGUAGAUGGGAAUAGAAGGAGCUUUCUAAAACACACCAAUAUCAGUCUUUUUAAAAAACAGGUCCUUCUUCUGAUUUGAAUGUCAGAAAUAACAAAGUGAUCAAACUUUUUAUUUAUUCUUUUAAUAAUUUGCUGUCAUGUUAAUUCAUUGCACCUAUGAUUUUCUUUUAAACUAAGUACAAGAAAUCACCAGACUUGUCAGAGCACUUAACUCUAGUCUGUGGAGUCAUUCACUUUCUUAUUCUUUGGUACUAUCCCAAAUAGGUCUUACCUUGCCUUAUCAGUUGACUACAAUGAAACGUGAUAUUCUUUUACCUAGAGACACUUAUUGUGGCUCCCAACAUAUUGAACUUACUGUAUACAGAAAGUUUGAGAAAGUUGAAACUUUGUUCAUCUCAAAACAUCACUGUAAUAUUUACGAAGUAGUUUUUAAAUAUUGUCUUUAAAACACUGGCGUUUCAGAUUGACCUAACUGGAAUUGUGGGAAAUAUUUACUAUAUAUUCUAAUUGCCAAAUCCAAUCCCCACGAUCAAUUAAUAAGCAAAAGCCAGAACAAUUUUUGUCAGAAAAAUAUUUCUUCGUUUUUCAAUUCAAAUAAACAUUAUUGAUAUGUACUCCUGUAACCGGGUGACAGGAGCAGGUCUGCGGGGAUGUCCCAAAGACAAUCACUGUUCCCCAUUGGGGAUGUGUUUUCCCAGGUCCUUGGGCCUCACUCACCCAAGAAUGGGGAGAGGGCCCUGGUGGCGCAGUGAGCUCAUUGAAGUAAGUAUCAGACCCGGAGUUUUGCAGAAAGCUAUGGAUUAGCAGAGAGAGAGAGAGAGAGAAGGAGAAAUAGAGAGCGAGAGGGAGCUCCCACGCUGUCGUGGGAGGGGAUCCAGAGAUGGAGUCGGCACAGGUAAAGAGAGAGCGAGAGAGAAGGCUCCCACGCUGCCGUGGGAGGGGAUCCCAAAGAGGGAAAUAGGUAAGGGAGUAGGGGGAAUUUAACCCCGGAGUUACUCCGGCCCCAUUCAGGUUCUUGUCCAGUGAGAGGAGCUUUUCCAGACUUCCUCUGGAGUGACUGAUAUUCAACUCUGAUAUUGGAUUGGUUGCCGGAUUUGCAAUCAAAGCCUCCUCCCUCAGAGCUUUUGACCGGCGUUUUAAACAAAGGAAGCUCACCUGGGCUUUCUCCCCAGCCCACACUCAGAGGGAAAAUUAGACCAAGAACUCUAAGUCCCCCCAAGGGGAGGUGGAUGGAGGCAUGGCGGUGGGAAGUUCUUGCCUUUGAAACCACGCCUGUUGUGGACCCGGGAGGAGAAGUUAACAUGGUCCCUCACUCCUUUGAUAACCAUCUUAUUUCUAAAUGAUAAUUCUAAGAUAAUAGGUAAAUAAAUAGAUUUAGAUGAAGACACACACCUUUUUUGCCAUAAAAGUGACACACUCUUGCCUUCAAUGUUCCUUAUAGAUAUUUUCGUUGCUUUGCCCUCAAAGACUCAUCCUCAAUAGCAAUGCAUUCUUUGACAACGACAAAAGGGAUAACAUGUAAAGACACAUGCAAAUAAAAGUUGUUAAAAUUCCGCUAUUUCGUUCAACAAUAUAGCUGUACUCUAAGCAUUGACAAUAUUUUAAGCCUGAACCCUUCAUUUCUAAUACCAUGAUUCGCUCUUAACAGAAAGACGCAUAAUGUGUGGAAAGUCUAGAAGCCCAACCAGGAUGAUUCAGCCUCGAAUAUAGAGGGCUAGCAAGGCUGUAAUGCCAUUAUUUUGACCUAUCUCUUUUUUUCCUGGAGGUUUUUAUAUCCCAUGGGCAAUGCAACCCUGUAAAAUUCAGGGUGGUGAUAGGCAUGCAGGUCCUUUGUAAGGUGGGAAGAAGGCCACUUAAAAAGUGGGGAUGGUAAAGGAAAAUUGGCAUUAUGCCUACGCCUCAGAUCCUUUUGUAGGUAGACCACUUUUAGAACACACUACAUCCAUGGAAGUUGAAAAACUGGAAAAUGGCUUUCAAGAUUUCCUUGGAAAGUCUUCAUGUGACCCACAGCUAUGCCUGCCAAUGGUUGAAAUUUUUGGCCCUCUCGGUAUCUUUCCUUCUCAUUGUUAUUAACAGAAUUCCUGUUUUCUUUGGGGCAUUGUGCACAGCUAAAAUUUUCACCUUGCAAGACUGGCUUGCAUUAUGACGCAGUUAUUGCUGAUGAAAUCUAAACUGAGUUGCUGGGGUUGGGGUGGAGGGCCUGUCUUUUAAAGCAAUCGUUUUUCUGAUAAAAUGGAACCAAUUCAGUUGGCCUAUCCCCUGGUCUUUCACUUUCCCUCGUUUGUCUCCUUGGAAGGCAAACGCAAUCUCUGCAGGUGUAGCAGUCAACUUAACGACCAGCGAAACAAGAGCCACAUGUUCAUGAUGGAAGAAUAGAUCAAUCCAAGGAGACUAGGUCUUUGUUGAUCACCUUGGAAGCCUGCACCAGCCUCCAGCUGGUACAUCCAGAGUUUUAAUGCAUGAGAAAAACAGGCCUCAUUGUUUAAGCCUUUGCUGUCAGAGUCGUAUUUAUUGGCUCCAAAUCCUAACUGAAACAAGGGAUGCUUUUCUUACCCAUGCCUUGAGGAAUACAUGAUUUAUUUUUCUGGCCUGAAAGAUCUUGCUAAAUGCUGCAGGGAAUGCUAAUGAGCUGCUAUACAAUCAUAUUUACCAUUAUUCUAGAUAAUAGUUUCUCUAAUAUAGAUAAGACAAAUUUAUAAAAUAAAUGUUCUGAACAUCAACUGAAAUCUUAUAAGGUUUUUGUAGGCAUCACAUUCUUAUCACUUUUGUUCUUGGAAACAGCAGGCAGUCAGUAAAUAAUUUCCCAACGACUGACUCUAAGGAGUAAAAAGGCCAACUUGAACAUUAUUUUUUUACUUAAUAAUAAGUACUAUAAUUAAUGUUUGAGAAUAACUUGGGAAAAACUAUGAAUUCUACUGUUUAUAGAGUGGUUAUAAAUCACAAUAUGUGGGGGACUGGAAAUAAGAUACAAUAUAAUUUAAUAUUUGAGUAAUGAGGGAAACAUCACCUGAAAUGAGAGUGAUGAUUUGUAACUUGCAACCUAAUACAUUUGUGAAAAUUUAUCAGUGAAUUUCGUCUAGUGCUAUCCAAGAUGAUAGAUGGCCUGAAAAUCUGAAAUGAAUCACAAUUAUUAUUCAUUGAGGAAACAGCUAAAUGUAUCAGGAGAAAUCUCAAAAAAUGGCCUGAAAAUAACAUUCUCAGAUAUUCAAUGAUAAUAAUUUCCCCAAGUGUUUUAUAUGAAUUAUGUCAUAUAAUUCUUUCCAUAACCCUAAAUAUGGGUCAUAUUGUUUCCACUUUAUAAAUAAGGAACUAAGACAUGGAUGAAGUAAGCAAACUGCCCACGUUCACACAGGUAAUAAAGGAUACAGCAGGAUUAAAACCAAAGCCGUCGGCUGUACCCGUGGUCUGGAAGUUACCUCUUAUGCCUAGCGAGGGCGAUUAUCCACACUGGAUAAUUAAACGACUGGGUAAAAAAAGUAUUAUCCACACUGGAUAAAAAAUAACGACCUGAGUCCUUUGGAGAGCAAAUAAAAUCAGGCAGUUUCUGAAGAGAAGCCAACAGUUGUAAGACGGAAAUUACAUGGGGUUAGUUUCUCAUUUUGAAAUGACUUUUAGCAUACUGUCAGGCUACAGCUGGUGAUACACAGGGCAACUAAAACCCAGAUAAAAACCCGCAGUCUUUGUGGCUUGAGAAACCAGGAAGAGUUCAGGACAAUCGUAUCUACUAUAUACUGAGAAGAAAACUCUGGAGAGCAAAGGGCCGAGAGGGCGACACCAAGUAUAGGAAAUUUGUCUAAGCCUCUGGUUGACCCCUGAAUCCGCAUGAAAGUGGCAGGCUUCCAGCUCCUCAGUUCAGGAUGAAAGGGUUGAACUAAGAGUUGAGCUGCUACCUCAUUUGCAGCUUGAGUCCAAAGUAGUUAGCUGCCUAUUCAAACAACAGCAAUGACAACAACAUUCUUUAAAGAAACCUAACAGAACACAGGUCUUCACAACACAGCUUUCAUACAUCUAGGACACAAUUGAAAAGUACUCCACUGCACAGUGGCUCCCACCUAUAACCUCAACACUUUGGGAGGCCAAAGCAGGAGGAUCACUUAAGACCAGAAGUUAAAGACCAGCCUGGUCAACAUAAGGAGAGCCUGUCUCUACAAAAACUAAGGAAAAAAUUAGCCAAGUGUGGUGGUACACACCUGUAGUCACAGCUAUUUGGGAGACUGAGGUGGUAGGAUCACUCAAACCCAGGAAUUUGAGCCUGUGGUGAGCCAUAAUUGGGCCACUCUACUCCAGCCUCAGCAGCAAAGCAAGACCCCAUCUCUUAAUUAAAAAAAAAGAAAAAGCACUCCAUAUAAAAGUUUAAAUAAACUGGAAGCUGACACUGCUGUCUCAUCAUUAAAAGUUCGUAUUAUCUCCAUAUGACUAAGAGAAUCAGAAAAAUAAAUGUUACUUGUUUGAUGGGAUGUUGGCCUUUGACUACGGGGGGCAUGUUUUGGUAAGAAGAAUCAAGACUUCUAUUUGAUCGAUCUAUUAUGAUGCCGAACAGAGUUGUUUGGGCGAUAACAGGUUAUACAGUCAAGAGAUGCAGGAGAGGUUGAAGCUGGGGUAGAAAUUUGAGAUUCAACAACUACUAUGCUUGAUUUUUUCCAUAAACAAAGGAAACUAAAAUAAAAAUUAAAAACUAAAUUAUCCACACUGAAUACUUUCCUUACUGACCUAUGUAAAAGCAUGCUAUGAUUGUGUUUUUACCUAGGCUACGUACAGAUAAUUUUCCUUUUUGCUGAAAAUUUUGAUAAUGAAAGAUUUAAAAACAAUGGGGCAAUCCAGAUAAAAUGUUUCAACGUGGCAAGAUAAACUUAGGGCUUGGUAUAAUGGGGGGAAGAAUCUCUACAUGUCCUCGGUUCCAUUUGUUUUCUUUUGGUAAGCAGUAUAUAGAAACAAUCCCAGAAACAUAAUUAUUCUCUUGAUUUAAAGAGAGAAUGUUUCUUUUCAUGACUUUUUAAUAAAAUGUGAGAUUACACAAAAAUUGAGACAUUCAUAAAUUUCUUUAACAGAACAAAAAUAAUAUGAUAUAUAUAGUAAUUAUAUAUAUAUUUUUUGAGACAGUGUCUCAGGCUGCCCUCAGGCUGAAGUGCAGUGACGCAAUCUCAGCCCACUGCAGCCUCUGCCUCCUAAGUUCAAGCAAUUCUCCUGCCUUGGGACCCUGAGGUCCCAAGCAGCUGGGAUUACAGGUGCUCGCUACCAUGCUCAGCCAAUUUUUUGUA
Callithrix jacchus (white-tufted-ear marmoset) is the source of this 9194-nucleotide long non-coding RNA. RefSeq lists it as uncharacterized. The record is from RefSeq and is a predicted model, not a curated record. Lineage: Eukaryota; Metazoa; Chordata; Mammalia; Primates; Cebidae.